This 460-nucleotide ribosomal RNA is filed under the name uncultured bacterium. RNAcentral's name for it is "partial 16S ribosomal RNA". It matches the Rfam family "Bacterial small subunit ribosomal RNA", at positions 338 to 795 of the family's 1533-position model. The record is from RNAcentral.
CCUACGGGAGGCUGCAGUGAGGAAUAUUGGUCAAUGGACGAGAGUCUGAACCAGCCAAGUAGCGUGAAGGAUGACUGCCCUAUGGGUUGUAAACUUCUUUUAUAUGGGAAUAAAACGUUCCACGUGUGGGAUUUUGUAUGUACCAUAUGAAUAAGGAUCGGCUAACUCCGUGCCAGCAGCCGCGGUAAUACGGAGGAUCCGAGCGUGUUCCGGAUUUAUUGGGUUUAAAGGGAGCGUAGGUGGAUUGUUAAGUCAGUUGUGAAAGUUUGCGUCGCAACCGUAAAAUUGCAGUUGAAACUGGCAGUCUUGAGUACAGUAGAGGUGGGCGGAAUUCGUGGUGUAGCGGUGAAAUGCUUAGAUAUCACGAAGAACUCCGAUUGCGAAGGCAGUUCACUGGACUGCAACUGACACUGAGGCUCGAAAGUGUGGGUAUCAAACAGGAUUAGAUACCCUUGUAGUC